Chenopodium quinoa (quinoa) is the source of this 3965-nucleotide long non-coding RNA. RefSeq lists it as uncharacterized. The transcript has 4 exons. The record is from RefSeq and is a predicted model, not a curated record. Lineage: Eukaryota; Viridiplantae; Streptophyta; Magnoliopsida; Caryophyllales; Amaranthaceae.
CAUGCGUUAGGGUUUAAAACCAUAUACUCGUAAUUCUUUUCAUAGCCGUUUUUGUUACACAAGUGUGUGUUCUGUCUUUCCUUUUUUCUUUUCCUCUUAUCUUCUUCCUCAAACUCUCUCUUUCUCUCUCUUCUCCUCCUCUUUUCUCUUUCAUGUUGCCGGCGCGUUGGUCGGUCGUAGCAGCGGUAACAGUGGCGCAAGGAGUUAAUACAAACUAACCUCUAGUCGUUUCCCCCUCCCGAAAGGAUUUUUCCUAUAGAUGAAAUGACAGUACGGAGUAGUAAUUAAAGGACAGAAAAAAAGGCAUGAUGAUUAAAUUAAGGAGUGCAUCUUUCAGAGGCGCGCUAUCACACUACUACAAGGCUCAAGGUUUUGCCGGGAAAACCCAUUACCGUGAGUUUUUCUUAGCUUGCAACUCAUUCAAGAGUCUUCAUAUUUCCCAGGUGGUAUGGAUAUUAAGAUCUUUUUAUCACAUUUACAUUCAAUCCAAAGGGGCUAGAAAAUCACUAGAUUUGUUCAUAAGAAAGGACUUGGACUAGAGGAUAGGCCACACAUCUUAUGUAGGUUUUUUGAAAUAAUAAUAUGAGGCAUGUAAGUGUAUAUGUACCACCCUAUAUAUAAGAUAAGCUAUAAUUUUCAUUUUUAAUAUAGAUUUUUGUACUAAUUUUAUAUCUGUGUAGCAACCAUCAUAAGAUUACUCGGUUAAUGUAAUAGGGGUUACCCAGUCAGUGGCGGAGCAAGGAUUCUUCACCUAGCGGACGGACUAAAGGUGGCGUACAUUCUAUAAAUGGACAAACCUUUUAAACAUACAAGAAAUUGUAGGGACUAUGCUUAAUAAUUUUAAGUUUUACAACCUGAAAAUCCAAAUUUCUUAGUUAUACAGUCCAAAAAUUGAAAAAAACCAUAUAUACAAUUACAACUUCACCUUUAAAUAUUCAUUCUUUUUUGAAGUGAUAUACAAUAAAAAUUAUCAAAUAAUUCAUUAAUGUGAUUUCUAAUUCACGAUAAUCCUAACAAAUAAACAAUUUCUUAUUCAAAUUUGGUCAAUAGCGGAUCCAUAGGUUCAAAGUUUUUAAACCUGUGACAAAUUAAUUUAUAUUGAGAUAUAUAAUAAAAUCAAACACAUUUACCCGAAAUUACUAAAUAACCAAUAAAUUGGGGUUGUAAUGUAUGCAUUUAUAUAAAUAAAAAAUUAUAUAUGUAAAUUACUAUGGUAAUUUAAAAGUUAGAACAUGAUGCCAUUAAAUAGUACUAUGAAUUACUUCUAAUUGAAUGUGUGAAGUAAAGAAACAUGCAUGAAAAGAGGAAAAAUUUAAAAUAAAAAUAAGAAGAAAAAAAAUGUUGGUCAAAGGGAUUGAACCCAUGACCAUGGAGACUACUAAUAACCCCUGAAACCAUUGAACCAAACCCUUAUUCUUAUUUUUUAUGCUUUACAUAAUUAGUUUUAACUAACUUUUUUUUUUAUUGAAGUGGGGGAAAAGUUGUCCCCCCUUGUACCCCCCUCCCUCCGCCACUACACCCAAUUAGUGUUAUAGUUGUUACUUUGUUAGUGUUGUACUUUGUUAUUUAAGGAUUACUAAAUUAGUAUAUAUAAUAAGACUCUGUUCACUUCACCUUAAACUCUUAAAGAUAUAUUAUUUGGUGAAAAUAAUUUUAGUUUAGUAUAAAUAACUUCAAUUUGGUAUAUUUAAUUUCAUUUUAGCAAAAAGCAACUACUUUAAAUAAGAAAUAUACUCAUUGCGUCCCUUAAUACAAAGUCUCAUUUCCUUUUUGGGUAAAUUAAAAUGCAAUGCCUCUUUCUAUUUAAAGGUUGUAUUUUUUGACAUUAAUUAAUACUCUUUUUUUUGAUGAGUUGUCAUCUUUAUUCGUUUGAUUUUUUGUACUUUUGACAUCAAUUUCCAACACUUUCUCGCACUAUCUCUUUAAUUAUUCCUAACAAUUUUUUCUUUCUUUCCAUCUCUCUCUAACCCUACAUGUACAUAUUUACUUUUAAUUUUAAGUUUUAAAGAAUUUACAACUUUCUUAAUUCCCGCGAAAAAACCAAAAGUGACUUUAUAUUAAGGGACAGAGAGAGUAAUAGAGAAACGAUAAAAAAAAUUAUCAACAAAAAUAAUUUCAAUUUAGUAAAAAUAAUUUUAGUUUAGUAAAAAUAAUUUUAGUUUUGCAAAAAUAAUUUUAGUUCAAUAAAAAUAAUUUCAUUUAAGCAAAUAUAAGGUGAAGAGAACCGAGCUUAGAAGUUACUCUAUCAAUAUAAUAGGGAUUGAGUUUUUCUAAGCUAUGCCCCCCAAGUUCUUCGGUUUCUAAGUUGUACCCAUGCUUUUUCAAAUUUAUAAGUUGUGCCCUCCACCUCACGAUAUUUUAUCAACAAUACCCUUUGACACCCAAAUCCGUUAACGAAAGUUAAGUUAUUUUAUCAACAUUGACGUCGUGGUAUUAUUAAUUUGACACGUGUCCCGUUCUAAUUGGUUUAAAACUUUAAAUAAAUUUUUAAAAUCAGAAAAUAAAAUAAUAAAAAAGGUUAUUGUUAACGUCAAAUACUAUUGUUAAUAAAAAUUAGUGAGGUUGAGGGCACAACUUAGAUGUUUGAAAAAGCAUGGGCACAACUUAGAAAUCGAAGAAGUUUGGGGGCAUGACUUGUUAGUGUCAUAGGGGUUAAUUACUCCAUUUUUUACAAUCGAUCACACAGUGUGACCAACCGCACAGAAAAUAUGUUGUAGAUUUUGUAUAAGUUUCAUGUUAAACUUUAAGUGUUUUUAAAAGCUAUAGAAGAGAAAAGAGAUACCAAAUUAUUUGUGAUAUAAAAAUUACUCCCUUCGUCUCUUUAUUAAUGUCCACUUUUCUCUUUAUUAUGUGAGUAAUAAAUGAUAGAAAGUGGACACUAAUAAAGAGACGGAGGGAGUACAAUAUAUAGUGAUCAUAUUAUUAAUAUAAUGGUAAAUGUUUCCAAAAAAAUAUAUGUAGUUAGAGGACGGAAAUAGUUAUUUAAAAGGCAAAAUUUUAUAUGUGAUUGGUUACACCGUGGAUAGGAGUUACUCGAGUUACUUGGUCAAGGGUUACUUGAGGGGUUCGGUCAAGGGUUAGUUAAAUACUCUGUCAUGAAUUAUUUAAGAGAUUACUCGGUCAGGGGUUACUCGGUCAUGAGUUACCUGAGUUACUUGAUCAAGGUUUACUUUAGGGGCUCGUUCAUGGGUUACUUGAGGGGUUCGGUCAUGGUAAGGUACUUAGUCAUGGGUUACUUAUGGGGUUACUCGGUCGGGGGUUUCGAGAGGGGUUACUGAUGAGUGUGAUUUAUGGCACUCAUCGGAUAGUCUUCUAGGAUGAUUUCAUCCCUUUUUCAUGCUUUCUUAUCUUAAUUUUGGUCCCUUUUCCUUUAGUUCCUUUAUUUCCUUAUUUCUUUGUGUUUUUCGUGUUUUCUUCUUAUUUUGCUUUUACUUGGCCCUUUUUCCCUUUUAUUCCUUUCCUCUGUUUUCUCUUGUAGAUACCUAGGAGUUGUCUUUUCAAAGGGAUCAAGAUGAGCUAUUUUGACUAAGUAAGGAGGAAGCAAUCUGCUUGGAGAGGGCUUGGAGAGGGCUUAGAGAGGCCUCGCAGAGGGCAUCAUCUCUUGCCGAGUUGCCGCGGGCGCGGGUCCUGAAGGCCGCGGGUGUGUGCUUGAUUGCUCCAAAUGAUCCAAAAUCGACCUGGAACUCUUCGCGGCCUGGUGCUCGCGGGCGCGGGUAGAUUGGAGAGAGCACUCCAAAUUAGAGAGACCGCGGCCCUCUGAUCAACCUCUGGGAGCAGGGGAUUCGCCGCGCCCUUGCCGCGGGCGGGCUAGAAGACCCGCAGGUGCGGGUGUUGCCCAGAUAACCCGCUGAGUUUGUUAUGGGUUCUGUACCCAUUUCCCCGAGGGCGCGUGAUUUCUUAGAGAGAGCGCGGGGAUCCUGUUUUCCUUCUUUGCCUAUAAAUACAAUUGUAAUUCCUUUUUGAAA